This 636-nucleotide ribosomal RNA is filed under the name Triticum aestivum (bread wheat). RNAcentral's name for it is "partial small subunit ribosomal RNA". The record is from RNAcentral. Lineage: Eukaryota; Viridiplantae; Streptophyta; Magnoliopsida; Poales; Poaceae.
AUGAAGAAGGUUAUUCAGCAGUUUGUGCAAUCUUGCUUAGUGUGUCAGCAAGCGAAACCUGAGCGUGUGGCUUACCCGGGACUGCUAUCACCAUUGCCAGUACCUGCCAAGGCCUGGGAAACGGUGACAAUGGACUUUAUCUCAGGAUUACCUCCUUCAGGCCAGUUUGACUGCAUUAUGGUCAUCAUCGACAAAUUUACAAAGUAUGGCCACUUUGUUCCUAUCAAACACCCCUACACGGCCCAGAAAAUUGCCGAUCUCUUCCUGGACAAUGUCUAUAAGCUUCAUGGCAUGCCGCUGUACAUUGUGUCAGACUGGGACCCUGUCUUUACCAACAAUUUUUGGCAAAUUUUGGUCAAGAAGACUGGAGCUGUCCUUAACAUGAGCACUGCAUACCAUCCGGAGACUGACGGUCAGACCGAGCGAGUGAAUCAACAGGUUGAGUGUUUCCUGAGAUGCUUUAUCAGUGCCCACCCCAGCAAGUGGUCCAAGUGGCUUCCCCUGUGUGAGUUCUGGUACAAUACUAACUGGCAUUCAGCUCUCAACAAAUCACCGUUUGAAGUUCUUUAUGGACAUAGCCCCAGGUAUUUUGGGAUAUCAGCUUCAGAUAUGGUUGCUCCAAUUGAUUUGCAGUAG